CGGCAUGCCUAAGACAUGCAAGUCGAACGAGAUGGCCUUAGAAGGAUUGAGCUUGACUCAAAACUGGAAAAAGAUACCCAUCUAGUGGCAGACGGGUGAGUAACACGUGGGUGACCUACCUCGUAAGCUGGGGAUAACAGUUGGAAACGAUUGCUAAUACCGAAUAAGAUAUAACUACCAUGGUUAUAUUGAAAGGAGCCUUUAAAGCUCCACUUAGAAAUGGGCCUGCGGCGUAUUAACUAGUUGGUGAGAUAACAGCCCACCAAGGUGACGAUGCGUAGCCGAACUGAGAGGUUGAACGGCCACACUGGGACUGAGACACGGCCCAGACUCCUACGGGAGACAGCAGUUAGGAAUAUUCGUCAAUGGGGGAAACCCUGAACGAGCAAUGCCGCGUGAGUGAUGAAGGUCCUAAUGGAUUGUAAAGCUCUGUUGUAUGGAAAAACGGCUAGAUUAGGAAAUGAAUCUAGUGUGAUGGUACCAUACCAGAAAGCUCCGGCUAACUACGUGCCAGCCGCAGC
RNAcentral lists this ribosomal RNA (521 nucleotides) under uncultured bacterium. Its description in RNAcentral is "bacterial SSU rRNA". It matches the Rfam family "Bacterial small subunit ribosomal RNA", at positions 40 to 518 of the family's 1533-position model. The record is from RNAcentral.